RNAcentral lists this long non-coding RNA (893 nucleotides) under Homo sapiens (human). RNAcentral describes it as "SLC44A3 antisense RNA 1". Lineage: Eukaryota; Metazoa; Chordata; Mammalia; Primates; Hominidae. The record is from RNAcentral.
GGGUUUCUGCCCAGCUCACCCGCUGUCAGCUGGGGUCCUGCUCUGGUGGGAGGAAGAGGCUCAGACGCUUCCCUGCCCUCUCGCCUCAACCACCUCGAGGCAGCGGCUCCCAGGAUGUGCACUUUGACGACUAAAGCUGAGCCGGCGCCGCCACGACCUUGGGCGGGUGGUCGGCCUCUGCCCUGAGCAGGAAGUAGAAAGUCUCAGCAGACCCUUCCUGAGGGCCGAGCAACAGUGUAGUGGCGUAUUCCACAUAGCAAACAGAUGUACACUAGAUUUUGAUGGCAUUUUUCCAGGGACCCUGGGAGCAUCUGUGUUCUCGUGUUCUUCUUGCCUGUGAGGCCUCUUCUCUCUGAGGACAGAUGGUAGGACAGAGAGAAGACAGCAAAUGGAAAACAAAGGCUGCUAUUUUUUUGUGGGGCAGCAUUUCUUCCUGUGACAAUAUGGUGUAAGACAAAAUUGUGGCCUGCCAUGAAGUUGUGAGAGAAAAGCAUCCCUCAUUUCUUCAGGAAAGGCCACUGCCGUUCCCUCCGGCUCCUCUUCUCAGGAGUUUGUGCAUUCAUGAGGUGAAUUCCUUGGAAGAUGAGGGCCAAGUCUUAUUCUUCUCAGUCUCUUCUGCAUCUAGCAGAAGAAUAAUGGUUGCACAGAAAAUCUUGGUUCAGUGGUUGAGUGAAUGAAUGGAUGAACAGGCUCUUGCACACAAAGAAGAGACAUGAUGUAUUUGCAUCCUUCCCUGCUUCAGCCAGGUCCCCAGACAGUCCCGGUGUGCACACUUCCCUGCUUCUGUUCAUGAUGUUCUCUGAACCUGGGAUCACCUUUCCCCUUCCUCUUACCUGCCCGAUCCUACUUGUCCUCCCAGAUUCAGUUUUCUGAAGCUCAGAGGGACACCUUGU